AUACAGAGGGUGCGAGCGUUAAUGGGAAUUACUGGGCGUAAAGCGCGCGUAGGCGGCUGAUUAAGUCAGAUGUGAAAUCCCAGGGCUCAACCUUGGAGCUGCAUCUGAUACUGGUCAGCUAGAGUUUAGGAGAGGGAAGUAGAAUUUCAGGUGUAGCGGUGAAAUGCAUAGAUAUCUGAAGGAAUACCAGUGGCGAAGGCGGCUUCCUGGCCUAAAACUGACGCUGAGGUGCGAAAGCGUGGGUAGCAAACGGGAUUAGAAACCCGUGUAGUCC
RNAcentral lists this ribosomal RNA (274 nucleotides) under uncultured bacterium. RNAcentral describes it as "partial 16S ribosomal RNA". It matches the Rfam family "Bacterial small subunit ribosomal RNA", at positions 523 to 796 of the family's 1533-position model. The record is from RNAcentral.